ACUUUCUUAGUAUAACUAGUACUGUUGACUUCCAAUCAACAAGAUCCGUAAAUAGCGGAAGAAAGUA
This 67-nucleotide transfer RNA is filed under the name Mesomys stimulax (Surinam spiny tree rat). RNAcentral's name for it is "tRNA-Gly". The record is from RNAcentral. Lineage: Eukaryota; Metazoa; Chordata; Mammalia; Rodentia; Echimyidae.